Molecule: ribosomal RNA, 408 nt
Filed under: Triticum aestivum (bread wheat)
Lineage: Eukaryota; Viridiplantae; Streptophyta; Magnoliopsida; Poales; Poaceae
Description: partial small subunit ribosomal RNA
Source: RNAcentral
AUGAAGGGCUGGGGUGCCAACUUGGGUCGAGACCUCUGUGAGCACAAGAAGGCCCUUCUGUCUGCUAUUCAGGCCCUUGACCUGCGCGCAGACUCCUCUUGCCUCUCCCCUGAGGAGUGGCUUUCCCGGUAUGACCUGGAAGACCAACUCUUGAUUAUCUACUCCGACAAAGAGGCCUACUGGCGUUUGCGCGGGGUUCAAAAAUGGGUAUUGAAGGGUGAUGCGAACACGGCGUAUUUUCAGGCCAUCGUGAAUGGUCGCCGUAGACGCAACACCACCCCCCUCCUUUGGGAUGGGUCUUCUCUAUUACAGUCCCCCGCUGACAUAAGGUCCCAUGUGGACGGUUUCUAUAGAUCUCUGUUCGCUGUCGUUCCUCGGAGCGGCCUAUCCCUGGCCCUGGACUGUUGG